CUCACUGACAGACAGACACACAUACACACUCACAAAGUAUACACUCUCACUGACAAACACACACUCACUAACAGACACCAAACAGACUCACUAACAGACACACACUGAAUAACAGACACACACUAAGAGACACACAAACUAACACACCACUAACAGAAACACACUCACUGACACACAAAAACUAACACACUCACUAGCCAAAAAU
Pelobates cultripes (western spadefoot toad) is the source of this 205-nucleotide non-coding RNA. Lineage: Eukaryota; Metazoa; Chordata; Amphibia; Anura; Pelobatidae. The record is from the annotation of a GenBank genome assembly.